UAGAACUUUAUUUAUCCAGAUAUUAGAAAUAAUAAAUGGUAAUAAAUGGAUGAAUAAACAAAACAACCUUAUUAACAGAGGUGAUGUAGUUCCCAAGCUAAGAAUAAGAAAAAAAUCAAUCUUUUUGUUGGUUGGAAGAUGUACCUGAUCUAAUGAAUUAGAGUAACAAGAACAAGAAAGCUUUUUUUUCUGUGAUAUAUAUAUCUAUAUAUAUAGAUAUAUGUAUAUAAAUUUUUUUUUAUUUAUUUUUUUUAUUAUUUAUUUAUUUAUUUAUUUAUUUAUUUUUAGUUUUGCGCUGCAACCCGAACAUGUCUGUAGCAACAGUUGAUCUCUUUUUUCCUCACCCAAUUAAUCCCUCAGGGCAGGAAUGAGAAAUAGAACAGGAAUCCAAAACAACAACAGCAACAACAAAAUCACUAAUACAAAAAAAAUCCAAAGUGAUCUAUUUAAAAGUGUGUCGGUUUUAUUUCUACAGUACCUAAGGCUUCCUAUAUAACCAGAGUAAUACGACAUAAUAUGUAAAGUAUGUUAUUAUAAAUUUACUUUGUUCUAACUGGUUUCCAACUAAAGAAGGGGAAUGUGGAACACUUGGGAUGUGGAGAAAGUGACAUUGUGCUUGAACACCUUCUAGGUAUGAAGCCAGGUAUGAAGAUUUGGUGCCCUUCAAUAAAAUGGACAACAUGACACACACAAACACACACACACAGUCACAGAACACGAUUACACUGAAUAACAGCAUUGUAAUGUAGACAAGGAUUGAUGAAACAUUUGAGCCAUUACAAAUAACGGCGUCCCCAAUGACACCGUUUCUCCUCUAAGCCAUGCCCCCUACUUGCUACAUUAUACACAUAUAACUGGAGAGAAGAGCUUUAAAGCGAAGACAGGAACUCAGGAGAUCAGGAAUUAGACAUCAUGGGAAUGGGGUAGAAAUCUACCAACCUAAAGCAAGAACUAAGAAAAAAAAAUUCCCAGAAUCGUCUACAUUUGUUCUUAAGGUCAGAUCCGAAAACCAGUUAUGGUUUUGUGUGUGUUGUGUGUCAUGGAUACAUGUACACACAACAUUUUGAAGCCAUGCUGUGCUAACAAGACAUUCAGAGUCAGCCUGGAGUGUAGAUAAUUAUUCAGUUCACAUUUGUUUGUUGUGUGUGUGUGUGUGUGUGUGUGUGUGUGUGUGUGUGUAACUGCAGACCAGUAUCUAAGGCAGACCAUUCAUUAGCCUAACUCAGCUGGCAAUACGAGCCUGGCUACAGCUUUACCAGCUCACCAUAUUAUAUUACAAAGUACACACACACACACACACAAGCUACAGACACGGUUGACCGUCCCUCAGUGAGCAUUUAAAAGUGUUAAAAGUGUUGUGGUUACCUGCACGAGUCUUGAAACUACAGUAAGAAUUGUGUGUCGUUUCGGGGUGUGUGGUGUAUUUGAUGUCGCAGCACUCUGGUGUGUCUGAGGAGCAAACGUCCAGGCUGGUUAGUAAUUUAGUUGCACAAUUAACGUUGUCAUUUUGUAGUCAUGCAUUUGUUAAAAAUUGCUGUCAUACUCAUACAAUUUUCAAAAAUCAGGAAAGAUUCUUAAAGUCAAAAUGAUAUAAUAUUUGUUUCUGUGUGUGUUUGUGUGUGUGUGUGUGUGUGUGUGUGUGUGUGGCAGAUGGCCUCUCCCUUCACUGAGCUGGAGUGCUACAUCAUUCUUUUUUCUCUGUUCGUCUUCAGUCUGUUUACGUUGCAUGGCAUGAUCCAUGAGCGAUGUAUACCUUCGAACGGUACAGCUAAAGAAAUACCCCAAGAACAUCAAGAACCGCUCAUAGUCUGAGCCUCGGCCUCAUUUGGAAUGACUGGAUCAACAGUUACGCCAACAGACUUUUUUUAUACGUAAAUUUUAUACGUAACUCCAGGGUUUCCUUACGCCGUAUCUCAAACCCGGAUUCUGAUACUGCACUUUAUAUCCGUCAGCAGACUGAUAAUGGGAGCGUGGUUAUAUUUGACCAAAAGGGCAUGUCUGAAAGGUGCGUGUGUGUGUGUGUGUGUCAUGCUGAUGUGGUUUACUGGCUGCUCUAAAAACCUCCUAGAAGAAGUAUUUUUGUAAGAAACUCUAAAAUAUUUUUUACGUGAAUUUAGGAUUUUUCAUUCUGAAGGUAAAAGAUUCUACAUAUCUCUCGCUGUCUUUCACACACACACACACACACACUCACACACACACACACACACACACACACACUGAGCUCACAAUUUUGACUGAAAAUUGACUCAGACAUGUAGAUAUGCAAAAUUUUUGUAUGUCCUUAAAACUACAUUUUUUUUGUCUUUUUGUUGUGCUAUUAAAUUUUGUUCAACUUUAUUAUAUUCAGUCAGAUGUAAUGAGUAAUUUGUGGUUUGUCUUGCCUUCUUUGAUUAUAAAAGAGUCAGAUGUGCUAUGUAAAUAGUGUGUGUGUGUGUGUGUGUGUGUGUGUGUCUGUGUGUGAGUGUGAAAGCAAUGGAGACACUUGUUUUCGACAUUGUGCAUAUGUCAACAGAGGCCUUAGGGGACUACAGGGAAAAGGGAUACUCUGUGUUCAAGUGCUCCUGGAAGAAUUUCCAAUAAUUAUGAAUCUUAACUAUUUGUAAAAUAUACAGCAAGGUUCUUUUUUAAUGCUUUUCUAAAAUUCUGCUAAUAAUUACAACUUCGUCCUGUCAACCCUGGACGUGCCAUGAAAUCAGCAUGGCAGCUUGAUAAAGCCAUAGAUAGAUGGAUGGAUGGAUGGAUAGAUAGAUAGAUAGAUAGAUACUUUAUUGAUCCCAGAGGAAAUUCAUGACAUGGUAAUGCAAAUAUAUUAGUUGAGUCUUUCCAACACAAUUGAAUUAUAGCAAGCUUUAACUACGGUUUCAUUCCUGCAUUUUCCAAAAUUUGUCCCUUAAUACAAGGAGGCAGUGUAAUCUCCAGCCAUACUGGAGACCAGCCUUGGCAUCGCGUUUCACAUUUCGACGUUCAUUAAUAUUGAUCAGCUUUAAGGUCACGGCCAUGUGAAGAGACAGAGAGCUGGUGGACAAUUAAAAAAAAGGUUAAAAAGACUUUUUCAACAUUUUAAUUGAACAGUUAACAUUUAAAGGUCUAAUGCAAGAUGUAGGAAUUGUGAAACGUUGUUUUGUUGAAGUCUGGCAUACAGCAUGUAUUGGUUAAGUUGCUGUCAUUCAGAGGUUUAAAGUAGAAUAAAUUAUAGUGUUUUUAGGUUGUUUUCACUCACACACAUAAAUGCACAAAUUACACAAAUUCCUCUACAUAUUAUAUACAAACAACUGUGUAUAUUUUAUAUUUCAGCAUCCAAGCAAGUUUUUGUUUGUGUUGUAAGCAGGCAUGUGUAUGUGUGUCUGCGUAGAGUGUUAUGGAGAUUCCGUUCUCAGGAUUUGAGUUGCUCUUCAUAGUCGUAGCCAUUACUGUGUUCUGCGUGUUCGGACUGGUUGCUAUCUAUACACGCAGCCAGCAUGCAGACAACCAAGGUGAAAGUGGUUUCACAGAGCAGAACCUGACCCGUCAUAAGAGAAGGCUUAAAAGAAAACAGGAAUACCAGCCAUCAAGGGCAUAAACUAUCAGCUUCUGUAAACAGAGAACCUAACAAAUAUAAUUUACGGGUUCAUCUACAGCACCCACGAGGUAGUUUGUCUAACAAAGUGGCUAGGAAGUGUACACGGUACUGCUAUACACACACUUAUACCACUAUAGUGCCAAAAUAGGGACUGAUUGGAUUUUAAAAAAGUACCUUUUGCAGGGGUGUAAAUGCAACACCAAAGUUUUGAAUAUGUGUAAUGAGAAUAUACGUAAACAGAUAUUUGAAUCGAUUACAAUGUUUAAGGUAAAUAAAAACAGUAAUUUUGGAAUAUGCAAUCAGAUCGAAUUAAUGUAGAACGACACAAACGGCCACAGGUAUAGAUGGGCAGGAAAAUGGCCAAUAUGUAUGUUCUUGUGGUUCAGGGAUGAAAUUAUACAGCUUGUAGAAUAGUUACAUGUUGUGUAUUAAAAGAAAAAGUCCUUAUGUUGUAUAGAUACGCCUGGGUAAGAGAAAUAAGCAAUUGUACGAAAGAAGAAGUUGGGAGUGAUUAAAAUGUAAGCGGAAGUUUUUGUGGAAACGUGUGCGUUUAUUUCCCACCUUUGUUCUAUUUUCCAAUUACAGUGGAUUUCGAUAGAUAGAUAGAUAGAUAGAUAGAUAGAUAGAUAGAUAGAUAGAUAGAUAGAUAGUUAGAUAGAUAGAUAGAUAGAUAGAUAGAUAGAUAGAUAGAUAGAUAGAUGUGGACUGAAUACUAAACCAAGCGCACUGAUUGGUUUUCUGGUCCAGAUCCAAUGUUCUUUUUUUUUUGCAGCAUGUAUGCUGACUGUAACAAAACAGUUUGUCAUUUGUUUACUCACAGAUAAUGGCACGUUACUUCAGUGUAGUGAAUCUUUUUUAUGUAUAUAUUUGCCUUUUUAUUGGACAGAAUGGAUCAGAGAUUCAUAGAUUUUCCGCAAGAGCAGCGAGAGUUGGAUCAGGGCAUGUUUGUGAAUGAGAAUUUAAGGUGCUUCGCAAUUAGAAGGUUUGACAAAUUAAUAGAACAUAAAAAAAACAACCAGGUAAAAAAAAUAAAUUUAAAAAAAUGAAAAACUCGCAAAUAUUUUUUUGUAUUGACCUCCUUAUUUUGCUCUGUUAACACAUUAUACUGUAUUUAUAUGUAUAUAUAUUUUGUUAGAUAGCAUAAAAAGUAGAAAGAAGGAGUUUGAAGUAGGACAUGACAUCUUAUGCCCUAUAAUCUCUUGUCUCUUGUUGUGCUGGCUGUAUGAACUCUAUCCUCCCAGCUCCGGACUAGUCAGUGCUGGUUUUUAACGCAAGCACCACAAUAACCCAUAAUAAAUUCACAUCCAUGUCAACAAAACGUAUUCAUUUACUUAACUUAUACAAAAUAAUCCUAUUCAUGACUCUACUGUUAAAAUGUGUAGAUCAUUCUCGAAGUCACUUAGCAAAUGACUUUUAUUUUCAGCUAAAAAUUUCAUUUCCCCCAGUUUUAUUUUACUAUUUAAAAAAAAGCAGUAUAGAUCAUUGCAUUACUUUGAUAUGUGAUAUGUCUUAAUACUAAUACGCGUUAACUUGUGGAUAACUGUGAAUAUACUGUCCUCUGCUGGCGUCAUUCAUUAUGGUUAGAAAUUAAUGUAUAUGUUUAUAUACGUGUACAUAUAUGUAUAGUAAAUGAUAUAUACUAUCAAUCAAUACACUAUCAAUAGUUUCAUGUAAUUUGUUCAAUUUAUACACCAACCCUCAUUACACGUAUCAGAUCUAUCUACGGUUCAUUCAUUCAUUCAUCUUCUACCGCUUAUCCGAACUACCUCGGGUCACGGGGAGCCUGUGCCUAUCUCAGGCGUCAUUGGGCAUCAAGGCAGGAUACACCCUGGACGGAGUGCCAACCCAUCGCAGGGCACACACACACUCUCAUUCACUCACGCACUACAGACAAUUUUCCAGAGAUGCCAAUCAACCUACCAUGCAUGUCUUUGGACCGGGGGAGGAAACCGGAGUGCCCGGAGGAAACCCCCGAGGCACGGGGAGGACAUGCAAACUCCACACACACAAGGUGGAGGCGGGAAUCGAACCCCGACCCUGGAGGUGUGAGGCGAACGUGCUAACCACUAAGCCACCGUCCACCCCGUCUAGCUACGGUUCUUUCUAUUAAAUUAAGAUCUAAACAUGUCAAUAUGGCAUGCCUAUCUAAAAAGUGUAUAAAAUAUAAAUGAACACUGUUAAAUCAGGCUUUCAGAAUGACUAAUAAAAUCCAACUUGUUUAUUUACAUUAUGCAAUAAUGAAAUUAGUAGUCUAACAGUUAACUAAUGGUUUGGACAUAAAGCAGAAGCUCAGAUUAGUUAAUGUGACACUGGUUAUUUAAAUCUCUCUAGCAUCAGUCAAGUCGAAAUGUCGAACCUGAUAUGACUGUCAGGCGGUUGUUAGUGCUAGACAAGCUGGUUUGAAUAUUUCAGAAUUUGAAAUUGAUCUCAUGAGAUUUUUUUGAUAGUUAACACAGAAUAGUGUGGGAAAAAAUUCCAGAAGAAACUUCUUACAACAAUGGUGAGCAGAAAAGCAUCUCAGGAUGCACAAUAACAAAAUCUAAAGAAAGAAUCUCAAUAAAAGUGUCAGUUCACAGGAAACCAGUGACCCAACUUGCAAUUCAGUUGGGUGAUGAUGAUGAUGAUGAUGAUAAUGCGUCCUAUCGCAUAGCACAAGUCAUCCCAAACUGCUCUUAUGGACACAAUUGUGAGUUCGGUGAACUUCAGUGGUCACCAGAUGUUCUUCACUGGUCACCAGAUGUUCAAUAUCUAAUCGAGAAAUUAUGGGAUUCAAUCAACAUUGGAGCAGAAUCUUAAAUGAAUUUAAAGGAAAGACCUUGUGGAAUCUGUGGCAUGAGGAAUUUUCAAAAGCAAAGGGGCGGUUCUAAUCCAGUGUGUGUGUGUGUGUGUGUGUGUGUGUAAGAGAGGAAGAAGGGGGUGUGGUUUGUGAGCUUGUUUCCUGGUAGUAACUAUAUAGGCAUUGUAAAGUCUUGUGUGUGUGUGUGUGUGUGUGUGUGUAUGUGUGUGUGUGUGUGUGUGUGUUGUAAACUUGAAGAGGAGGUUUAAUUGAAGGUUAAGGAGGAAGGAAGCUUAUGGUAGGAUGUCGCUCUUAUCUGCUCGAGGAACAAUCAAUAAAGUUCAAUACUGAUAAAACUUCCUGUCAGCGGCUCACUCAAUGCCUGUAUGACUGAACACACUUGACACCAACAAUAACAAGUUCACUUUGAACUCACUCUUAGGCACACAAUGUGUGUGUUUGUGUGUGUGUGUGUGAGAGAGAGAGAGAGAGAGAGAGAGAGAGAGAGCAGUAUUCUAUCUAUUCUAUAUAUAACCUACAGAUCCCUGAUCUCUGCUGUACAUACAGAGAGUAGAACCAGACUUUGGCUCAACGUCACACCCAACAGUACACCCAUGCACACAACCUGCCUUAUGUCAACAUUUCAAGCUGGUGGGGGUUGAUAACAGUGUGGGAAAUGCUUUCUUGGCACAUAAAGGCCACAAAUCAAGCAUCAAGUAUUGUAGAAAAGAUCCACGAGAAAGAAGGCAGAUUUUUAUUUUUUUCUUCUUCAUUUCAUUUUGACCUAAGAAUAACUUUUUGAUUAGAAUUUCACUUUACCUCCUUGAGGUGAAAGAACCUAAAACAAACGCUUGAGACAAACGCUAAAACUGACACGUGAUACCAAAAGCACUGACUAAUCACCAUCAAAUCAAUAAAUAACGUAGCUGUAUACUCUAACCAGUAGGUUUAAAUACGUUUCUAUCGGUGCGUUCAUCGGGAAAGUUUCACACAACUGGCAAGCUGAAGUGGUGUCGAGAGUUUUUUUGAAUAUUUUUAAUCGAUUCACAAAGACACUUUUGCUGAGCGAAUUCUCAGGAUUGUAAAAAAGUCGUAAAGGAUUCGGAUAAAUACUCUUACCUUAAAGACAAUACCAUGCCACAGAAACCUGAAACAAACAACAAAGGACAAGUAAGGUGAUACCUGUGGAUUUGCCGGCUUGAGAAUCUUUGGAGUCGAGAGCCUACCAUGAACAAAAGUACUGUUUGUAUUGGAGGAUUCCACUGAGGAAAUCACUGCAAUCCAAAAAAAAAACAACAACAACAACAAAAAAAAACAUUGCUGCACUUUUUAUUAUUGCUAGACACUACCUAUAUGUUAUAUAGUGAAAAAUUAGUUUUACUGUUUUUUUAGGAAAUAUAACUCAACAUAUAGGAAGGAUGUCAUUAAAUAUGUCGGAACUUAGAGCCCGUCUCCAAGUCGGCACAUAUCAGGGUGAAUUAUACUGAUAUACUUUAUAAUACUUUUAUACUAUAUAAUUGUUACUUAAACUUAAUUUACUGAUAGCACUAACAUUAAUACGAAUUAAAACAAUGGGAAAGCUCCUCAGACCUGGAUGAGAAUGAGCAAACUUCUUUAUUGUGGUCAAUCAGCUAACAAUUCUCUAAGAGAAUUUGCCAAUUUGAAAGUAACAAAAGAAAUCCCAAAAACCCAAAAAAAGAGCAUCUUCAUGAAGAGCAUCGGCAUGCAAAAACAAAAAAACCCUCAGGACGGUCCUGCAAAGUAACGUUUUUUUUUACACAUACACAUUUGGCCCCAAAAAUUCUCCUCUAUAUAUACGCUUCCAAGCGCCUUCUUAUUGGUUCCCCUCCUCACAGACCCGUUUUCAUUUCACCUUAUCAUUAUGUCACCUUAUUUACCGGAAUCAUCUCAUAUGUUUUUGUAACGUCCUGUUCCUUACAAUCCCCUUGUUUUUCCUUCACCUUUUGCCCAUAUGCCCAUUUAUGGAUUUUCCUCCCCUUAGUUCCCCGGGGCCCAGGUCCGGGAGCCCAGGCCUGUGACCCUGGGUCUUCUUCGUUCGACAUAACAAUUAUGUCUAAACAACAAUUUUGUUAUUAAAAGUGUGCUCAAAAAAGAGCCUCACUCCCUGGUCGAAGUUACAUUUGCCUCUAAGUUUUUCCAUGCCAGACGUCCUGAAGAUUAAUCCUUCAUUCAACUACAAUGGAUCCUUCGCGUCAGCCAGCUCAUCCUGGUCGCCCCAUCAUGUCCUCACCUCACCAUCCUCGUCCUUCUCCCUACCCAAGGCCAGUGCCCGCUGAUGUCAUGGAGAGCUAUCGCCGCUUCCAGCUACUUCAUAUCACCCAUGAGCUCAUUACGUGUCUGGAACAGCUCUGUUCUCCUGACCUCCCGAGCAUCCUCAUCUGCUGUUCCAUAUUGUGAGGGGGCCUCUUACUAGCACUUCCUCGACUCAAACCCCUCUACCUAACCUCGUGGACCAGAGAACCCAAACUGAUGGCUGUCCUUAUGACCCUGUUUCCACAUUAUUCCAUCCCCUGUCUAUAAUAGACAGUCCACCUUCUGAUAUUUAUUAUUUAUAAUAAAUUUUUCACUUCCAACUCUUCAUAGAUAAUGGAUCCAUCUAUCCAUCCAUUUUCUGUACACAAGAUCACAUGGAACAUGGAAUCUAUCCCGAGAGAUGCAGUGCACACUCUGGAUAGGGUGCCAAUACUUUAAAAAUCACGCACAAUCACACACAACAAUACCACAGCAAAUUAAUAAUAAUAAAAAAAAAAAAAAACAGAAAACACUAUGAUCUCGACUGUUAAUACGACU
Tachysurus vachellii is the source of this 9146-nucleotide long non-coding RNA. RefSeq lists it as uncharacterized. The transcript has 4 exons. Lineage: Eukaryota; Metazoa; Chordata; Actinopteri; Siluriformes; Bagridae. The record is from RefSeq and is a predicted model, not a curated record.